RNAcentral lists this RNase P RNA (482 nucleotides) under Chloroflexota bacterium. Its description in RNAcentral is "Chloroflexi bacterium (sediment metagenome) RNase P RNA component class A". It matches the Rfam family "Bacterial RNase P class A". Rfam says of the family: Ribonuclease P (RNase P) is a ubiquitous endoribonuclease, found in archaea, bacteria and eukarya as well as chloroplasts and mitochondria. The record is from RNAcentral. Lineage: Bacteria; Bacillati; Chloroflexota.
CAGGCUGGUUGGGCAAUCGCGGUCCUGCGUUGACGGGAUCGAGGAAAGUCCGCACUCCUUAGAGCACGGCGUCGGAUAGCACCCGGGGCGGGGAAACCGCCGUGAGGCGUGAACCUGCCGGAAAAGGGCCACAGAAACAAACAGCCACCCCCUCCGCCCGUUGGGCACCUCCUCCAAAUCCAUUGGAUUUGGAGGAGGCAGGGUGGGGGUAGUGAUGGUGAAAAGGUGGUGUAAGAGACCACCGGCAUCUGCCGUAAUGCGGAUGGCCAGGUAACCCCCGCCGGGAGCAAGGCCAAGCAGGGGCGAAAUCGUCCGUGGACGAUGGGAGACUGCUCGUCUCCAUAUGUGCCUUUCCCUCUUGUGGGAAAGGCCAGCCCCGGGUAGGCUGCAAUGAGCGGCGCGGCGACGCACCGCCCAGAGAGAUGAUUGCACAGGCAGGACAACCUGCUGGACAGAAUGCGGCUUAUAGGCCAGCCUGAGGU